UGGGGUUCGGGGCUCGUUGCUACGGGCUGUUCGUUCCCUGUAUGACCGGAGCAGGAGCUUGGUUCGCAUUGCCGGCAGUAAGUCAGACCUGUUCCCGGUGCAUGUUGGACUCCGCCAGGGCUGCCCUUUGUCACCGAUUCUGUUCAUUAUCUUCAUGGACAGAAUUUCUAGGCGCAGUCAGGGAACGGAGGGUGUCUGUUUUGGUGGCCGCGAGAUCUCGUCUCUGCUUUUUGCGGACGAUGUGGUCCUGUUGGCUUCAUCAAGUCAAGACUUGCAGCGUGCACUGGGGGGGUUUGCAGCCGAGUGCGAAGCGACGGGGAUGAGAAUCAGCACCUCCAAAUCCGAGGCCAUGGUUCUCAGUCGGAAAAAGGUGGAUUGCUCCCUCCGGGUUAGGGGGGAGUUGCUCCCUCAAGUGGAGGAGUUUAAGUAUCUUGGGGUCUUGUUCACGAGUGAGGGAAAAAUGGAGCGGCAGGUUGACAGGCGGAUCGGUGCGGCGUCCGCAGUAAUGCGGUCAUUGUACCGGUCUGUUGUGGUGAAGAGGGAGCUGAGUCGUAAGGCGAAGCUCUCAAUUUACCGGUCGAUCUACGUUCCUACCCUCACCUAUGGUCAUGAACUCUGGAUCAUGACCGAAAGAAUGAGAUCGCGGAUACAAGCGGCAGAAAUGAGUUUCCUCCGCAGAGUGGCUGGGCGCACCCUUAGGGAUAGGGUGAGGAGCUCAGUCACCCGGGAGGAGCUCGGAGUAGAGCCGCUGCUCCUCCGCAUCGAGAGGAGCCAGUUGAGGUGGCUCGGGCAUCUGUUCCGGAUGCCUCCUGGACGCCUCCCUGGGGAGGUGCUCCGGGCUUGUCCCACUGGGAGGAGGCCUCGGGGCAGACCCAGGACACUUUGGAGAGACUAUGUCUCCCGGCUGGCCUGGGAACGCCUUGGGGUUCCCCCAGAGGAACUGGAGGAGGUGUGCGGGGAGAGGGAAGUCUGGAGUACUCUGCUCGGACUGCUGCCCCCGCGACCCGGCCCCGGAUAAAAGCGGAGUAAGAUGGAUGGAUGGAUGGACAUCAAUACCAGAAGUUUUCAAGGAGUAAAAUGUAUUUAAAGCUGAC
This is a long non-coding RNA of Scleropages formosus (Asian bonytongue), 1094 nucleotides long. The record is from Ensembl. NCBI's taxonomy places the organism in Eukaryota, Metazoa, Chordata, Actinopteri, Osteoglossiformes, Osteoglossidae.